This 554-nucleotide ribosomal RNA is filed under the name uncultured bacterium. Its description in RNAcentral is "partial 16S ribosomal RNA". It matches the Rfam family "Bacterial small subunit ribosomal RNA", at positions 355 to 896 of the family's 1533-position model. The record is from RNAcentral.
UAGGGAAUCUUCCACAAUGGACGAAAGUCUGAUGGAGCAACGCCGCGUGAGUGAAGAAGGUUUUCGGAUCGUAAAGCUCUGUUGUUGGUGAAGAAGGAUAGAGGCAGUAACUGGUCUUUAUUUGACGGUAAUCAACCAGAAAGUCACGGCUAACUACGUGCCAGCAGCCGCGGUAAUACGUAGGUGGCAAGCGUUGUCCGGAUUUAUUGGGCGUAAAGCGAGCGCAGGCGGAAUGAUAAGUCUGAUGUGAAAGCCCACGGCUCAACCGUGGAACUGCAUCGGAAACUGUCAUUCUUGAGUGCAGAAGAGGAGAGUGGAACUCCAUGUGUAGCGGUGGAAUGCGUAGAUAUAUGGAAGAACACCAGUGGCGAAGGCGGCUCUCUGGUCUGCAACUGACGCUGAGGCUCGAAAAGCAUGGGUAGCGAACAGGAUUAGAUACCCUGGUAGUCCAUGCCGUAAAACGAUGAGCGCUAGGUGUUGGGGACUUUCCGGUCCUCAGUGCCGCAGCAAAACGCAUUAAGCGCUCCGCCUGGGGAGUACGACCGCAAAGGUUG